This 312-nucleotide ribosomal RNA is filed under the name Sarcomonadea sp. RNAcentral describes it as "SSU rRNA". The stretch from base 96 to 312 matches the Rfam family "Eukaryotic small subunit ribosomal RNA", at positions 736 to 956 of the family's 1831-position model. The record is from RNAcentral. Lineage: Eukaryota; Cercozoa.
CUGGUAUGGUGCGCCUGGCCCACGGUUGCAAAACCGCGAGUGUCGGUGUGCGCCUGCCAUCUUUCUAGUUAACUGGACGCACUUAACUGGGCGGUCAGCGAUCUAGAUCUUUUACUUUGAAAAAAUUAGAGUGUUUAAAGCAGGCUUGCGCUAUGAAUACAUUAGCAUGGAAUAAUAAUUUAGGACUUUAUUCCUAUUUAUUGGUUUCUGGAGUAGAGUAAUGAUUGAUAGGGAUAGUUGGGGGUGCUAGUAUUCAUCGGCCAGAGGUGAAAUUCUUGGAUUCGAUGAAGACUAACUAAUGCGAAAGCAUUC